RNAcentral lists this ribosomal RNA (377 nucleotides) under uncultured bacterium. Its description in RNAcentral is "bacterial SSU rRNA". It matches the Rfam family "Bacterial small subunit ribosomal RNA", at positions 521 to 896 of the family's 1533-position model. The record is from RNAcentral.
UAAUACGUAGGGUGCAAGCGUUGCCCGGAUUUAUUGGGCGUAAAGGGCGCGCAGGCGGCUACGCACGUCCGUUGUGAAAUCGCUCGGCUCAACUGGGCGGGGUCAGCGGAUACGGCGUAGCUGGAGCAAGCUAGGGGGCAAUGGAAUUCCCGGUGUAGUGGUGGAAUGCGUAGAUAUCGGGAGGAACACCAGUGGCGAAGGCGGUUGCCUGGAGCUUUGCUGACGCUGAGGCGCGAAAGCGUGGGGAGCGAUCCGGAUUAGAUACCCGGGUAGUCCACGCCGUAAACGAUGUCGACUAGGUGUCGGGGGUAUCGACCCCCUCGGCGCCGCAGCUAACGCAUUAAGUCGACCGCCUGGGGACUACGGCCGCAAGGCUA